GGGACUGCAUCUACUGUUUCAUUUCCAACUACCUAAUAUUAUGUUUUCUUUCUUUAAGAACAUGCCAAGUAACAGUUUUCUUUUCGUUACAAAUGUCUGCAUCAAGAAUCUCUUAAUUAAAACAAAUUCAUAACAUAUUCGUAUUGUGUUUUAAUUACAUCUUCUCGCUUCUGUCCUUUCAAUGCAACAAUUCAGCGACCAAAGUCUCAAAUCUAUGUUACUUAAAACAUCUCGAUUCGUUGC
This 243-nucleotide long non-coding RNA is filed under the name Vigna radiata. RNAcentral describes it as "long non-coding RNA (VRAD_LNC000222)". Lineage: Eukaryota; Viridiplantae; Streptophyta; Magnoliopsida; Fabales; Fabaceae. The record is from RNAcentral.